This 74-nucleotide transfer RNA is filed under the name Dehalococcoidia bacterium. Its description in RNAcentral is "tRNA-Gln". It matches the Rfam family "tRNA". From Rfam's summary of the family: Transfer RNA (tRNA) molecules are approximately 80 nucleotides in length. Their secondary structure includes four short double-helical elements and three loops (D, anti-codon, and T loops). Further hydrogen bonds mediate the characteristic L-shaped molecular structure. tRNAs have two regions of fundamental functional importance: the anti-codon, which is responsible for specific mRNA codon recognition, and the 3' end, to which the tRNAs corresponding amino acid is attached (by aminoacyl-tRNA synthetases). tRNAs cope with the degeneracy of the genetic code in two manners: having more than one tRNA (with a specific anti-codon) for a particular amino acid; and 'wobble' base-pairing, i.e. permitting non-standard base-pairing at the 3rd anti-codon position. Lineage: Bacteria; Bacillati; Chloroflexota; Dehalococcoidia. The record is from RNAcentral.
UGCCGGGUUGUGUAACGGUAGCACAGGAGCCUUUGGAGCUUCUUGUCCAGGUUCGAAUCCUGGCCCGGCAACCA